CUAACCAGGAUUCCCCCAGUAACGGCGAGUGAAGCGGGAAGAGCUCACGUUGAAAAUCUGGCCCUCGGGCCCGAAUUGUAGUCUGUAGAGGCGAGGCCAGCCGGUGACCGAGGCGAAGUCUCUUGGAAAAGAGCAUCAAGGAGGGUGACAAUCCCGUUCUUGCCCCGGCCCCGCCGCGCGCACGGCCCGUUUUCUAAGAGUCGAGUUGCUUGGGAUUGCAGCUCAAAGCGGGUGGUAAAUUCCAUCUAAAGCUAAACACGGGGGGGAGACCGAUAGCGAACAAGUACCGUGAGGGAAAGAUGCAAAGAACUUUGAAAAGAGAGUUAAAGAGUGCCUGAAAUUGCUGAAAGGGAAGCGAAGGAAAGCAGUGUCUGGCGGAUCCGCCUCUCCGGGGUACCUUCGGGUCCCCGGCUUGCGCUUCCGCCGUGGCCAGCGCCGGGUCGGGUCGCGGGACGCUUCGUCUCGGGAGGUAGCGCCUCACCUCGGUGAGCGUGAAUACCGUGGCGUUUUGUCGCGACCGGGGCCGCGCGCUGACGAAAUGCUUUUCUUUAC
This 552-nucleotide ribosomal RNA is filed under the name Herpodiscus durvilleae. RNAcentral describes it as "LSU rRNA". It matches the Rfam family "Eukaryotic large subunit ribosomal RNA", at positions 65 to 517 of the family's 3401-position model. Lineage: Eukaryota; Phaeophyceae; Sphacelariales. The record is from RNAcentral.